This 301-nucleotide transfer-messenger RNA is filed under the name Candidatus Pelagibacter sp. It matches the Rfam family "Alphaproteobacteria transfer-messenger RNA". Rfam says of the family: Bacterial tmRNA, also known as 10Sa RNA or SsrA, is named for its dual tRNA and mRNA-like properties. The record is from RNAcentral. Lineage: Bacteria; Pseudomonadati; Pseudomonadota; Alphaproteobacteria; Candidatus Pelagibacterales; Candidatus Pelagibacteraceae.
UUUAUUGAAUCUUUAAGAAUUACUUUUAUAUUAAUCAUGUUGGUUUUCCAACUAUGACGAUAAACGAAUUUCGUAAUAACCAUUGCGGACGUGGGGGCAGUACCCACCACCUCCACCAUAUACAACUUAUGGGGGUGAACUAGAUUCGACGGGUGACUAAAGGCUAUUCUUUCGUUCGGAAUUGUACCUCCGCAAAGGGCUAUUUAUAAUUGCUAACGAAAGUUACGCACUUGCUGCCUAAUUAACUUUGUUAAUUAAGCAAACGGGGUUUUGGGGCACCUGGCAACAGAACGCCCCUGUU